ACCGGACAACAACACUAAACCCAUGUCUAGAGUUUGAAAGAUGGUUCUGCUAUCACUCUUGGAUGGACCUGCGGUGCAUUAGCUAGUUGGUAAGGUAACGGCUUACCAAGGCAAUGAUGCAUAGCCGAGUUGAGAGACUGAUCGGCCACAUUGGGACUGAGACACGGCCCAAACUCCUACGGGAGGCAGCAGUAGGGAAUCUUCCACAAUGGACGAAAGUCUGAUGGAGCAACGCCGCGUGAGUGAAGAAGGGUUUCGGCUCGUAAAGCUCUGUUGGUAGUGAAGAAAGAUAGAGGUAGUAACUGGCCUUUAUUUGACGGUAAUUACUUAGAAAGUCACGGCUAACUACGUGCCAGCAGCCGCGGUAAUACGUAGGUGGCAAGCGUUGUCCGGAUUUAUUGGGCGUAAAGCGAGUGCAGGCGGUUCAAUAAGUCUGAUGUGAAAGCCUUCGGCUCAACCGGAGAAUUGCAUCAGAAACUGUUGAACUUGAGUGCAGAAGAGGAGAGUGGAACUCCAUGUGUAGCGGUGGAAUGCGUAGAUAUAUGGAAGAACACCAGUGGCGAAGGCGGCUCUCUGGUCUGCAACUGACGCUGAGGCUCGAAAGCAUGGGUAGCGAACAGGAUUAGAUACCCUGGUAGUCCAUGCCGUAAACGAUGAGUGCUAAGUGUUGGGAGGUUUCCGCCUCUCAGUGCUGCAGCUAACGCAUUAAGCACUCCGCCUGGGGAGUACGACCGCAAGGUUGAAACUCAAAGGAAUUGACGGGGGCCCGCACAAGCGGUGGAGCAUGUGGUUUAAUUCGAAGCAACGCGAAGAACCUUACCAGGUCUUGACAUCCAGUGCAAACCUAAGAGAUUAGGUGUUCCCUUCGGGGACGCUGA
RNAcentral lists this ribosomal RNA (878 nucleotides) under Lactobacillus johnsonii. Its description in RNAcentral is "bacterial SSU rRNA". It matches the Rfam family "Bacterial small subunit ribosomal RNA", at positions 168 to 1032 of the family's 1533-position model. Lineage: Bacteria; Bacillati; Bacillota; Bacilli; Lactobacillales; Lactobacillaceae. The record is from RNAcentral.